UACGUAGGGGGCUAGCGUUGUCCGGAUUUAUUGGGCGUAAAGGGCGCGUAGGCGGUUGCUCAAGUCAGGCGUGAAAGCCCCGGGCUCAACCUGGGAACAGCGCUUGAGACUGGGCGGCUCGAGUUCGGGAGAGGAGAGUGGAAUUCCUGGUGUAGCGGUGAAAUGCGCAGAUAUCAGGAAGAACACCCGUGGCGAAGGCGGCUCUCUGGGACGGUACUGACGCUGAGACGCGAAAGCGUGGGGAGCGAACAGG
This 253-nucleotide ribosomal RNA is filed under the name uncultured bacterium. Its description in RNAcentral is "partial 16S ribosomal RNA". It matches the Rfam family "Bacterial small subunit ribosomal RNA", at positions 524 to 776 of the family's 1533-position model. The record is from RNAcentral.